This 445-nucleotide long non-coding RNA is filed under the name Pan troglodytes (chimpanzee). RNAcentral describes it as "lncRNA (ENSPTRG00000054469.1)". The record is from RNAcentral. Lineage: Eukaryota; Metazoa; Chordata; Mammalia; Primates; Hominidae.
CAUUAUCAGUAACAUCAGCAGCAACAACAACUUCUCUGGUGGUUAAAUCAACACCAAAUUCAAUCUUUGUGUCAACUUGUACACAGUUCUGUGGCAACCAGGAUUUCUCCAGUAUUUUAAAAAUAACCUGUGCAGCAUGACUCACGCUAGCUACUUCACUUUGGCCUUUACCAAGUCCAGCACAGCAAAAUUUCACAGCAAUUCACUGUUUCUCAUUACUGGCAGCACCCUUGAAAACAUCUCCACAUUAGGUUAUUUCUACCUAGGACAUGAAAUGAAUGGAAUGCUUGAGAAAUUAUUGCCACACCAUUCUGCUAGGUACAAAUCAAAAAGAAAACACGCCUACUCUUGGUGUAAUUUCUAGCUCUGCCUCAAGAAUCUUCUAGCAGGCGCUUUUUCACCUGGCUUAAUGGUCAGGUCGCACCCCUGAGUAUGUCAGUCAAAC